This 60-nucleotide transfer RNA is filed under the name Cardiocondyla strigifrons. RNAcentral describes it as "tRNA-Leu". Lineage: Eukaryota; Metazoa; Arthropoda; Insecta; Hymenoptera; Formicidae. The record is from RNAcentral.
UAUGGCAGAUAAGUGCAAAGGAUUUAAAAUCCUUAUAUAAAGAAUAAUCUUUUAUUAAAA